UGAUGUGGUGAGGCAGGGCAGGGCAACUGAGCUGUUCAGCAUAGGUCGUCUAAAAUUGUGCCUACAGUGGAAACCAGACUCUGGAGCUGAAUAGGAUGAGAAAGGGGUGUGGAGUUUGGAAGCUCUUCCAUGGCCAGACUUCCUCAGGAAGGUGGUGGAUCCUAGCUCUGCCCACCUGUUCAAUCCAUGCAGAAGACAAGGAGGACCCCAGCAGGGAGCCCAGACUUCCUGAGCUAUUAUUAAUCAUUCUAUGAUUAACAACAACGUGGCUACUUCACACACCUCUCUUAAAGAUCCACCUGAUUAUAGAAGUCCUUUGGCUGGGAAGAUUUUAACCAUGAGGGCAAUGAAACACUGGCCUGGGUUGCCCAGAGAGCUGAUAGAAUCUUCAUCCUUGGAGCCACUCCAGAUGAAGUUGGAUGGGACUCUGAGCAACCUGGUCUAGUUGAAGAUGCCCCUGCUGCCUGCAGGGGGACUGGGCUAGAUGCCCUGUGAAUGUCCUUUCCAGCCCAGCCUGUGGUUCUAUGGUUGUCACAAGUCUUAGCUAAGGCAGAGUUGGUCCACAUGGCUUGGUUUGAGUGAUGCUUCGAUUCUGACCAGCUCUUGACUCUACAGUGAGCUUCUCAUUUUGCAAAGCACUAAACCCCUGCUGGUUGGUAGGAAGCUUCUGCAGGAUCUCUCUCACUGAAGGUCAGGUUUCAUGUGAGAUCCUAGAACCAGGCUUCUGCUGUGCUAGAAAAGCAGAAAGGAGAAAUCUGUAUAAGGUUAGCAACAUCUGAGCAAAACAGUGUUCUUGGCUCAGACAGCAGUUCUAAUUAUCCAGCACUUAGGCACCGAGAAGAUUCGGAUAAGAGGUCUCAGAUUUAGCUCCUCUCUGCAAGUUAAUGUGCCACUUUUCAUCUUCUUUUUAAAGCAGACAAUCAAAUCUGUGAUAGCAAAUUUCAAGUUAAAAGGAAAUGAUUGUCCCUGCAGAGAAUGGAAAGAACCAUUUUUGGCACUAGAGUGAGGUUUUGUGAUCCACCUGAGGCAUGGGUAGCUGGCAUUCCACACAUGAAAUAGAAGCUGGUGAGCCUGUUGCAAGAGUAGCUGGAUAAAAUCCUAUGGCUUCUUAUAUACAUGGGUGGUCUGAUAGGAUUUCUUGGUAUCAGGUAUCAUAGAGUGGCUGAAGUUGGAAAGGACCUUAAAAAUCAUUUUAAUUCCAGCCCCCAUGCCAUGGGCUCCCACUUC
Molecule: long non-coding RNA, 1227 nt
Organism: Pogoniulus pusillus (Red-fronted tinkerbird)
Lineage: Eukaryota; Metazoa; Chordata; Aves; Piciformes; Lybiidae
Exons: 2
Source: RefSeq, a predicted model, not a curated record